RNAcentral lists this ribosomal RNA (667 nucleotides) under Lactarius indigo. RNAcentral describes it as "eukaryotic LSU rRNA". The stretch from base 237 to 390 matches the Rfam family "5.8S ribosomal RNA". Lineage: Eukaryota; Fungi; Basidiomycota; Agaricomycetes; Russulales; Russulaceae. The record is from RNAcentral.
GCGGAAGGAUCAUUAUCGUACAAAAUGUGUGAGGGCGUGCGAGGGCUGUCGCUGACUUUUUAAAGUCGUGCACGCCGGAGUGUGUCCUCACAUAAAAUCCAUUUCACCCUUUUGUGCACCACCGCGUGGGCACCCUUCGGGGUCAAACCGAUCCAGGAGGGGGCUUGCGUUUCCACACAAACCCCUUUUGAAAAGUGUAGAAUGACCYCAUUUUUGCGAUAACGCGCAAUCAAUACAACUUUCAACAACGGAUCUCUUGGCUCUCGCAUCGAUGAAGAACGCAGCGAAAUGCGAUACGUAAUGUGAAUUGCAGAAUUCAGUGAAUCAUCGAAUCUUUGAACGCACCUUGCGCCCCUUGGUAUUCCGAGGGGCACACCCGUUUGAGUGUCGUGAAAACCUCAACCUUCUCGGUUUCUUCUGGACUCCGAAGGAGGCUUGGACUUUGGAGGCCUUUGCUGGCAUCUCUCUCUUUUGAGAGCCAGCUCCUCUUAAACAAAUUAGCGGGGUCCUCUUUGCCGAUCCUCGACAUGUGAUAAGAUGUUUCCAUGACUUGGUUUCUGGCUCUGUAGCCUUUGGGACCUGCUUCUAACCGUCUCGACGAGACAUUGUUUGGGCGUGUCUCCCUUCUCGGGAGACUCUCUCGACCCCACGAACCCUUGACCUCAAA